Molecule: long non-coding RNA, 904 nt
Organism: Silurus meridionalis
Lineage: Eukaryota; Metazoa; Chordata; Actinopteri; Siluriformes; Siluridae
Exons: 3
Source: RefSeq, a predicted model, not a curated record
UGGCGUUGAACGUCAGGUUGUUCAUGGUGAGCGUUUUCUCUGCGUGCUGCUGGAGUCUCUGCUCAGCCACGGUCAACUCCUCCGUAUCGAACUCACCAAGCUGCUGAGAUAACUCCUCACUCCACGACUCCAGCUGAAAACCUGACAGAAACAGUACACCGUCAUAAUGACCAGACCUGAACCAGGACAACCACCAUUAACAAAACGAGGGUGAAAGAAGAUACCUCAGAGUAUGCGGCGGUGAUGUGCUCGUAGAGCCCCUGGUGGUGGUGAAUGGUAUCCUCCAGGUCCUGGAGCUCCGAGGGCAGUUCACCAUCACCACAUGCUUUACACCACGACUCCACAUUACUCAGGAAGCAGAACAGAAAACGCAUCAAGCUAAUGAUGGUGCUGGAAACAAGCAAUUACUGUUGAAAGAGGAUGAGGAUGAUAAAAGACCAGACCUGAUAGCAGUGCUCUCGUUUUCUCUCCUUCUGAAGACUCAAUCACACACCAACAACAAAGGGCUUUUACGUUUUACUACAAACAGAAAAUAUUCUCUCUCUACAUGCCUGAUGACUGAAACAAUAAAAUCUUAUGUGGUUUCAGGGCGACCUAUAUUCUCUGAAUGUGCAAAAGUUUACGCUCCCUUUAAGACCAAAUGCGGACCAUGUGAACCAACAAAAACCAACAAAAAACAAAGAGAUUUUUCUUCUCCUUCUUUCUGGGUGUCCACCUUUAUGAGGUUCUUCUCCAAACUUUUGGCACAAAAUUGGAGACACACAAUUGUAUCGGAGGUCUUUGGAUGGUGUGGCAGGAGAUUUCACUUGAACUUGGAGACCCAAACCUGCGUUGGAAGAUGUGGAAGAUCUCCUGCUAUAGAGCUCUGAACACCUUUAGGAUGAAUGUGAACGCUGACUGCACC